UAGCGUUGCGAUGCAUGUGGAGUGUAUACACCCGAUCCCAUCGCGAACUCGGCCGUGAAACACUCCAGCGCCUAUGGUACUGCGGCUUAAGCGGCGGGAGAGUCGGUCAGCGCCGAGCU
RNAcentral lists this ribosomal RNA (119 nucleotides) under Roseococcus thiosulfatophilus. Lineage: Bacteria; Pseudomonadati; Pseudomonadota; Alphaproteobacteria; Acetobacterales; Roseomonadaceae. The record is from RNAcentral.